UCGGGAAUUUUGGGCAAUGGGCGAAAGCCUGACCCAGCAACGCCGCGUGAAGGAUGAAGUAUUUCGGUAUGUAAACUUCGUAAGAAUAGGAAGAAUAAAUGACGGUACUAUUUGUAAGGUCCGGCUAACUACGUGCCAGCAGCCGCGGUAAUACGUAGGGACCAAGCGUUGUUCGGAUUUACUGGGCGUAAAGGGCGCGUAGGCGGUGUGUCAAGUCAGUUGUGAAAUCUCCGAGCUUAACUCGGAACGGUCAACUGAUACUGUCACACUAGAGUACAGAAGGGGCAAUCGGAAUUCUUGGUGGAGCGGUGAAAUGCGUAGAGAUCGGAAAGAACACCAACGGCGAAAGCACUCUGCUGGGCCGACACUGACACUGAGAGACGAAAGCUAGGGGAGCAAAUGGGAUUAGAUACCCCCGUAGUCCCUGAGCGGGCUGGCAAGGCGCAU
Molecule: ribosomal RNA, 447 nt
Filed under: uncultured bacterium
Lineage: Bacteria
Description: bacterial SSU rRNA
Rfam family: Bacterial small subunit ribosomal RNA
Source: RNAcentral